This is a long non-coding RNA of Catharus ustulatus (Swainson's thrush), 3993 nucleotides long. RefSeq lists it as uncharacterized. The transcript is spliced from 5 exons. NCBI's taxonomy places the organism in Eukaryota, Metazoa, Chordata, Aves, Passeriformes, Turdidae. The record is from RefSeq and is a predicted model, not a curated record.
UUGUUAGAGGAUUCAUUAGUUAAGGCUAAUGAGUGCUUGCCUACACACUCUCAUCUCCAUAACUCACACACCAGCACUUGUCUCAGAGCAUUACAGUGACAUUACAUCAGCCAGCAGAGCCAACUGUGAUUUAUUGGACUGCAAAACAAAAACAGUGUAAAACGAGGAAGGCUAUAGGGAGGUGAAAAACUCUGAUCUCAUGUGUUUCCUUGGGAGAGGAUAGAGUCAUUCUGCCCAAAUCAGGGCCCCUGUGUACUCCUUGCUGUAUCUUUGUAUUCAAAAGUACCAGGCAAAGCAGGCUGGAUUUUAUGGCUGGAUGUUAACAUUCCCUCUCAAUUUCCAUGAGCGCUGAAGGAGGUGGCAAAACUCUUCAAACUCAAGUGCAAUGCUUUGAGAAGAGCUGGAAUAAGUGGAGUAAAACUUCAAGCAAAAGAAAAGGUCAUUCUGUGGAAACAAAUAUCAAAAAUAGGUAGAGGGCAUCCUGUCUGAAGAGAUUUGGCCUCUCAGGAGCAAUGCAGCCCAGCUUCUGAAAGACUGAAACCUGGGGCAGUCACUAACAAGCUCCAUUGAUACUGAAAUACAGCAGAGAUCUAACUGCAAGGUUCACUUGAGCAGAGGAGAGUCAUAACAAGCAAAGGAUUUAGGACAGAUGCACCCUUCAACACCAACAGAAAUUAAUCUACAGUAAUUCUCCACGUGCCUUGGCUCCAGACUCAGCUUUCACCAGCUUUCCAAGCAGUGCCUGCCCCCAGCCCAUGUCUGAGCCAGGGCUUGGCUGCUGCUGCUGCAGUGUCUGACUCAUCCUGCAGCAGAAACUCCAGUGACUGUUCCAUUCUCCUCAGGGGGUUUUAAUCUUUUGAUACUAAACAAACAUUGUCACUGUUCCUUUUGCCUUAAACCCAAUAGUGUGGCAUUACAGCUAAGUAGCUCACGUUUCCUGGUGCUGAACAAUAAUAUUUUUUAUAUCAAGAAGUGCCCUUUGUAAUACUGCAUGCAGUCAGUGCAGCAUUCUGAAUAUUUUCUGAGUUCUUGGAAAACUCUUGUGUUUAAGAUGUAUAGAAGGGUUUUUUUGAUUUAAGAAAGUGCAGUGACAGAUUCUGCUGGAUCAGAUCUCUCUUAUGUACCUUCUGUUACUGCUCAAGUAAGGCAGAUGAAUGAAAGAUGGGGACUCUUCUUCUUGCCAGCUAUUCUAGAAUUUCUUGAGUCCAUGUUCUUUUAGGGAAAAGUUGGAUGAAUUUUCAAUACUAGAAUUUCUGCAGUAUUGUGCUUGUGGGUGCAGACAAUUCUUUUUCAUACCAAGCAGAAAGACAAAUGAAAAUAGCACUUUUGCUGUUCUUCUGUCUGUAAAAGUGAUUUUCCUGUUGGUUCUAUUCUUCAGCUAUUGAGAUGGAAAACUAAAUUCUGGAAUUUUGCAACCUAAAUCCAUUGACAUUAGUAGCAAAAUGUGCAGUCAAAUUAGCAGAGGGAAGAGUUCCCCUGAAGAGUAUGAGAGGGUCCAACUUUGUACCAGUUUGGUUCUCAUUCUGUGGAGUACAAAGUAGAAAAUAAUAUCUAGGGAUAGUUAGGAGCAUAUCAAUAUAAACAUCAGGAAAAUGAGUCUAGGCAAGAGGCAGAUCUGCCAGGACCAUCUCCAACCAUUCUAAAGUUUAUCUGUGAUGCAAUAAUUGACCUGGCUCUGUUUCAUGAGCUCUAGCUCAAAACCACCUUGGUACUUGAGGGCUGAGAAAUGGAAAUUAUGAUAAAUAUGUGUCCAGAGAAGGGCCGAAAAUUACAAGACAGUGAAUUUGAUAUCUAUACCUGAAAAAUCAUUCAGAAGUACAAGAAAAAUUGAAAUAGAUAAACCGUAACAUAAAUGAAUCCUCAUUCCUUGUUUGUUUUGAAGGAGACAAAAAGUCUGUGAUAAAGAAGAUCCACUUAAUAUAAUAUAUCUGGCUUUCCAAAGGGCUCUCAAAAUCAGCCAUGCCAAAAGAGAAAGAUAAAAGAGCAGAAAACAGAGAGUAGGAGCAGAAGUUUAAGAUUCACUAAAGAAAUACAAAAAACCCUUUGAGAUGGGCAACUGGUCAUUUAGAUGGCAGAUAACAAUUCUACAAAAUAAAUGUAAAAUGAUAUAGAUGAGGGAAAGAGAAAUCAUCAUUUCACAUAUACCAUGGUGUGUUAUAAAUUGUGGCAGACUGCAUCUUGCACAGUAAUACAUAGACCAUGAGAACAUCAGCUCAGAGAAUAGAAAAAUAAAGAGAAAUGUUAGGAAUUAUUAAGAACAGGGGAGGAAAAAAAGAAAACUUUCUCUAGCUGAGGUAGUUUCUGAUUUCAUGUUUGGUCUGUCUUAGACAUCUCUUUUCUCGUUGCUUGAGACAGCAUACCAUGACUUUGGUUUUACCCAGCCGUUUUAAAGCUUUUACUGACCUGCCUUAGUAUAUUUAGCAAUUUAUUCACUAAAAAGCAUAUUUUAUAAAUAACAGAACUAAGCCUAAUUAUCUUGUUUUCAUUUUAAGUAUGUAUGUGUAUAUAUAUAUAUAUAUAUACACACACACACGUAUAUAUGUUUCACUUUUCUAAUCCUAAAUUUGCAAUGUUGUCUUUAUUCCAUUUUAUAUCCUGUAUUCAUAGCUCCUUACAAGCUCCUAAGCUGUUCCUCAAGACCAUGACUCUUACUAGGAAGAUGAAGGAACAUUAAAUCAACCAAACUGAACAUAAUUUGACUGGCAGCUUGCCUCAAAUACUAUUUUUCUCCUUGUCCACCCUUUUGAUUUUACAACAGAAGUUUCUCUGAAGCAGCACUUACAUUAUGAUGCCUUCCCUGACACAGGUUAAUUACUAUUUGUUUUAAUUAUUCUUUACUCAGCUUCAGAAGAGCUGUCAAAAUACACCUUCCUGAUUAUAUAUUUUACAAUAGGACUGGAAUGAAGACUGGACCAUUGAAGCAGUACUAAAAUUAACCAAACCAGUAUUUUUAGGUUAAGCUAGUUUUUCUCAUCAGCUGCUUUGGAAGAAAUUGGCACAGCAUAAUUGCAUUGCACACAUCUUUUGCAAAUAUGCCAAGAAAAGCUUAAUGAGACAAAUAAUUAAAAUAAAGUUUGAUAGGUGAAACAUGCAAGCAUAUAACAAUUCAUAAAAAAUAAUUUCUUUCUUUUAGAUGCAAAGCAUACACAAAAUGGAGCUCCUUUGAGUACUGUCCUCCUUCUGAUUUUAAUAUGCUAAGCUAAAAAUUAAACAAAUUGAAAAAUUGGUACAAAAUUAUGUCCUAGUCUGGAAAAUUUCUUCAUCAUUGUGCUAUAAGUUGCCGAAGAACAUUAUCUGUAAAAUAAAUCAGGGUCUAUCUUGGAUCUUACCAAGUUAUUCUCUGUCUGCCCCUGGCUUUUGAUAUAUAUUAUUUUCUUUUGGCUUAUGCUGCUCUCAGUGAGGGACAGCUUUUCUCUAACUUGCCUCUUGCCCUCUGCUCUUGAAUGAAUCAGUUUUACCUUGUCAAAGCUCACAUGCCUCUAGGAGUGCACAGUUUCAUCUGAAAUGGGUGCAGACCCAACAGGAAGCUCCAUCACUAUUUCAGGCUAAUCUAGAUCUGAUGGCGUGGUCUUUCAAAUUAGGCAUAGAAAUAAAUUGUUUUAUUACUUGUUUGGAUCCCUCAGAAUCAAACUCAAGGCUACUCUUUGGAUCUCCUUUCUCACAAUCAAAACCAUCCAUCAUGUAAAUUAAACUAGUCUCAGCAUUGCCAAGGAAAGCAGAGCUCCCCUCAGAGUUUUUGGGUACCCACCUUUUGCUGGUGAGGUGAAUGCACGGAGCUGCUGUGUCUGCAGGGUGCUGGGGUCUCCCAGUGCACAGCUCCCAGUGCCUUCUGCCUUGGGGCAAUGGGUGGUUUUGCACAAAUAAUCCUAUAGUUACCAAAAAGUCUUUGUGAUAUGUCUGAAAACUGCUCACAGGGGUCUAACAUGAAACACAAUUCUGGCUUAAGAAUGCAAGGCAAAAUGAUAUCAAAAUAAAUGCUCAACAUGGCAAAUC